AGCGGUAGGAGAGUAUUGUACUCUGCGAUGAAGCGGAAGGCGUGAGCCACCGUGGAGCGUGUACAAGUAAGAAUGUUGGCACAAGUAACCGCAAGACAGGUGAAAUCCCUGUCCGCCGAAAGACUAAGGUUUCCGCUGCAACGACAAUCGACAGCGGGUUAGUCGGGCCUAAGGAGAUGGCGAUAGCCGCAUCCGAUGGACACAUGGUUAAUAUUCCAUGACUUUAUUGCAAGCGAUGGAGGGACGGAGAACAUAAUUCCCCACGCAUUAUUGGAUUUGACGCUCGUACUGGUAGAGAGGAUAUUUAGGAAAAUCCGGAUAUCACAUACUCUCGAAAGAGCGACGACUGGAGCCCUCGGGUUCCAGAAGGGGGAAGAAUAGUCUUCCAAGAAAAUCUUCUAGCAUUCAAUUGCAAUGAAUCCGUACCGUAAACCGACACAGGUAGUCAGGUCGAGUAGACCAAGGCGAACGAGUGAGUGAUCCUCAAGGAACUCGGCAAAAAAGCAGCCGUAACUUUGGAAUAAGGCUUGCCCAUGUUUAACUACAUGGGCCGCAGCGAAAGUAUCUCUGGCGACUGUUUAUCAAAAACACAGCUCCCUGCGAAAUCGUAAGAUGAUGUAUAGGGGGUGACACCUGACCAAUGCCAGAAGGUUAAAUAUCGGUGGUGUACAACAUCCAGCGCGUGAUCAAUUGAUCGUGCAUUGAAUGUUGUAUGCUGGCUGAUAUAAGCCCUGGUGAAUGUCGGCCGUAACUAUAACGGUCCUAAGGUAGCGAAAUACCUUGUCGGGUAAAUUCCGACGCGCACGAAUGGUGUAACGACUGGAGAACUGUCUCGAGGAUUAGCUCGGUGAAAAUACAAUACCGGUGAAGAUGCCGGUUACCUGCAGUUAGACGAAAAGACCCCGGGAGCUUUACUAUAGCUUCACAUUGGGCAUAUUGGAAUUGUGCGUAGCAUAGGUGGGAGAGGUUAUGCGUAUGGUCUUGGCUAUACGAUACUCGUCAGUGAAAUACCACUCUCAAUUUUGAUAUGUCCUAACCUGGACGAAAAAACGUUCAGAGACAGUGUGUGGUGGGUAGUUUGUUUGGGGCGAAUCCCUCCUAAAUUGUAACGGAGGGGCCUAUAAAGGUCAGCUAGGCGUGAAUGGAAACCAUGCCGAUAGUGUAAUGGCACAAGCUGGCUUGACUGCAAGACGUACAUGUCGAGCAGGUGCGAAAGCAGAGCAUAGUGAACCGACCUAACGCUUUAGAUGCGUGGGAAGAUCAACGGAUAAAAGCUACCCCGGGGAUAACAGGCUAGUAUCGCCCGAGAGUUCAUAUCGACGGCGGUGUUCGGCACCUCGAUGUCGGCUCAUCUUAUCCUGGGGCUGGAGAAGGUCCCAAGGGUUUGGCUGUUCGCCAAUUAAAAAGUCACGCGAGCUGGGUU
This 1423-nucleotide ribosomal RNA is filed under the name wastewater metagenome. RNAcentral's name for it is "bacterial LSU rRNA". It matches the Rfam family "Bacterial large subunit ribosomal RNA", at positions 1224 to 2611 of the family's 2925-position model. The record is from RNAcentral.